This 552-nucleotide ribosomal RNA is filed under the name uncultured archaeon. RNAcentral's name for it is "bacterial SSU rRNA". It matches the Rfam family "Archaeal small subunit ribosomal RNA", at positions 327 to 879 of the family's 1478-position model. The record is from RNAcentral.
GGGGUGCACCAGGCGCGAAAACUCUACAAUGCAGGCAACUGCGAUAGGGGGACAUCGAGUGGCAUCCACCUUGGGUGCCUGUCCAACCGUCUAAAAAACGGUUGUUAGCAAGGGCCGGGUAAGACCGGUGCCAGCCGCCGCGGUAAUACCGGCGGCUCGAGUGGUGGCCGAUAUUAUUGAGUCUAAAGGGUCCGUAGCCGGCUUUGCAAGUCCCCUGGGAAAUCCAGCGGCUUAACCGUUGGGCUUUCAUGGGAUACUACAUUGCUUGGGACUGGGAGAGGUAGGAGGUACUCGGGGGGUAGGGGUGAAAUCCUGUAAUCCUCCGGGGACCACCGGUGGCGAAGGCGUCCUACCAGAACAGGUCCGACGGUGAGGGACGAAAGCUAGGGGCACGAACCGGAUUAGAUACCCGGGUAGUCCUAGCCGUAAACGAUGCCCGCUAGGUGUCACGACGGUCGUGAAUCGUCGUGGUGCCGUAGGGAAGCCGCGAAGCGGGCCACUUGGGAAGUACGGCCGCAAGGCUGAAACUUAAAGGAAUUGGCGGGGGAGCAC